This 184-nucleotide ribosomal RNA is filed under the name Varroa jacobsoni. RNAcentral's name for it is "5.8S ribosomal RNA". The stretch from base 8 to 154 matches the Rfam family "5.8S ribosomal RNA". Rfam says of the family: 5.8S ribosomal RNA (5.8S rRNA) is a component of the large subunit of the eukaryotic ribosome. It is transcribed by RNA polymerase I as part of the 45S precursor that also contains 18S and 28S rRNA. Lineage: Eukaryota; Metazoa; Arthropoda; Arachnida; Mesostigmata; Varroidae. The record is from RNAcentral.
UCAAUAUGGGGGAUCACUUAGUCCUUAAAUCGAAGAAAAACAUAGUAAUUUGUGGAAAUUGAUGUGAGUUGUGAAGUUGUGUGAGCAUUGUGUUUUUGAAUGAAAAUUUUAGUAUGGAUGCACUUGUAUCUAUGCUACAUUUGUUUCAGUAUAUAUACAUAUAAUACGUAGUUACUAUUGCUUA